This 385-nucleotide ribosomal RNA is filed under the name uncultured bacterium. RNAcentral's name for it is "bacterial SSU rRNA". It matches the Rfam family "Bacterial small subunit ribosomal RNA", at positions 29 to 414 of the family's 1533-position model. The record is from RNAcentral.
AUUGAACGCUGGCGGAAUGCUUUACACAUGCAGGUCGAACGGCAGCACGGGAGCAAUCCUGGUGGCGAGUGGCGAACGGGUGAGUAAUAUAUCGGAACGUGCCCGGUCGUGGGGGAUAACGUAGCGAAAGCUACGCUAAUACCGCAUACGAUCUACGGGAUGAAAGCGGGGGAUCGCAAGAGCCUCGCGCGAUUGGAGCUGCCGAUAUCAGAUUAGGUAGUUGGUGGGGUAAAGGCUCACCAAGCCAACGAUCUGUAGCUGGUCUGAGAGGACGACCAGCCACACUGGGACUGAGACACGGCCCAGACUCCUACGGGAGGCAGCAGUGGGAAUUUUGGACAAUGGGCGCAAGCCUGAUCCAGCAAUGCCGCGUGCAGGAUGAAGG